CAGCCGCCGCGGUAAUACGAAGGGGGCUAGCGUUGCUCGGAAUUACUGGGCGUAAAGGGCGCGUAGGCGGACAGUUCAGUCGGGGGUGAAAGCCCGGGGCUCAACCUCGGAAUUGCCUUCGAUACUGGCUGUCUUGAGUAUGAGAGAGGUGUGUGGAACUCCGAGUGUAGAGGUGAAAUUCGUAGAUAUUCGGAAGAACACCAGUGGCGAAGGCGACACACUGGCUCAUUACUGACGCUGAGGCGCGAAAGCGUGGGGAGCAAACAGGAUUAGAUACCCCUGUAGUCCCUGUCUCUUAUAC
This 301-nucleotide ribosomal RNA is filed under the name uncultured bacterium. RNAcentral's name for it is "partial 16S ribosomal RNA". It matches the Rfam family "Bacterial small subunit ribosomal RNA", at positions 509 to 807 of the family's 1533-position model. The record is from RNAcentral.